GCUGGGCAUGGUAGCAUGGGCCUGUAGUCCCAGCUAUUCAUGAGGCUGAGGUGGGAGGGUCGCUUGAGUCCUGAAGUUCUGGGCUGCAGUGCACUAUGUCAAUCAAGUGUCUGCACCAAGUUUGGCAUUAAUAUGAUGACAUCCCUGGAAUGGGGGACCACCAGGUUACCUAAGGAGAGGUGAACCAGCCCACGUUGGAAAUGGAGCAGGACAAAAACUCCCGUGCUAAUCAGUAGAGUGUCUUAGAAAUAAAAUCAUACAGAAAUAUGCAUUUGCAUUUGAUUUU
This 286-nucleotide signal recognition particle RNA is filed under the name Octodon degus (degu). RNAcentral's name for it is "Metazoan signal recognition particle RNA (ENSODEG00000025855.1)". It matches the Rfam family "Metazoan signal recognition particle RNA". From Rfam's summary of the family: The signal recognition particle (SRP) is a universally conserved ribonucleoprotein. Lineage: Eukaryota; Metazoa; Chordata; Mammalia; Rodentia; Octodontidae. The record is from RNAcentral.